This 202-nucleotide unclassified non-coding RNA is filed under the name Hevea brasiliensis (rubber tree). The record is from RNAcentral. Lineage: Eukaryota; Viridiplantae; Streptophyta; Magnoliopsida; Malpighiales; Euphorbiaceae.
GUUAGGGCUUGAGUCAGGGACUCGCCGAAAGUUUAGUCGUCAGUCAGUCAUCAACGGUGUUCGUUACGUCUCAAAGGGUGUCUUUAUCCAUCCCGAAAACAGAUGGUAUAGGGCGUGGACGAAGCUCAUACUGAUAUGGGCAAUCUACUCAUCCUUUUUUACACCCAUGGAGUUUGGGUUCUUCAGGGGAUUACCUGAGAAC